Molecule: long non-coding RNA, 6314 nt
Filed under: Sus scrofa (pig)
Lineage: Eukaryota; Metazoa; Chordata; Mammalia; Artiodactyla; Suidae
Description: lncRNA (ENSSSCG00065008231.1)
Source: RNAcentral
CAGCAGGAGCCCGGAGCCUGCAGGCGUGGUGGUUGGCUCCUGGGGUCCUCCCUCUCCCUCUCUUUCUUUUGCAUAAUACAUGUGCCUUCCUUCAUUGGUGGUCCCCUGAAGUCACCAGCCCUGCCAGAAGGUCUUUCCUGGGACAAAAGGGGAACUGGAGCGAGAUGGCCUCUCACAUGUUGGCACCUCUCCCUGAAUUUCCUUCCUUGGCAACUCUGUGCGCUGGAAGGGCUGGCCAGCAACCUUGUUAUUUUCACCAGCCCUGCCCAUGUGACUCGCACCAGGCAAAAGUGCUAUGUAAGCAGCUCCAUUAAAGCACUGGCUUGGCCGGUCGGUUACCCUUUGCCAUUUAAGACCAUGAAACCAAGUCUUUCCAGCUCAAUUCUGGCCUAUUUUAAAAGAUGUUGGUUUCCUUUCUUUAGCUACGAUGGCCCUCUCCUCCUGUCAACAUAAAGUAGCAAACAUCUUGGUCUCACCUCUGACUUUCUUUCUUUAGUUCAACUAGAUCUUGAUUUUUUUCUUUUUUUCUCUUUGGGGAUAAUGGCUGGAAAGCUUUAAAACAGAAUGCUUUUUCACUAUUUAGAUCUGAGCUUUUGCAGAGUCUCAGCUUGCCCCCACACUUCCCAGCCGUACCCUGGGAAGAGCAGAGCAGUUCCCCUUGGCCCGCACUUGAAGCUCUCUGGAUUGAACGUGCAUUUCCUUUUUCCUCGGGUGGUCACCACAGCCAACACCUGGGCUGGGCCUGCUGCUUUCUCCUUAGAUGCUACCGUUGAAACCACAUAGUGGAAGCCAAGCUCUAAGGCAGGAAAUUCCUUUCAUAAAAGGUUUGACUGUCCAUCAGGUGGGUCCGUGCUUUCACCUAUCCAUCCAAGACUGUGUGGUAAAUGUUAAAAUGAGGAGCACUGGUAUACUACCAGAACUAUCAAUGUAUUUGAUACUGAUGAUUGGAGAGAAAUUACUGGGCCCAUUUUUCAGACGUCAAGUACUCCGAGAAACAGAGUACUUUUGCAGUGUUUUUAUAAGGUGUUUUCUUACAGGUAAGCAUUGUAGGAGACUUGGUCAGCUCUAAAUCAGUGGUGCUGUGAAUUAAUUGCAUUAGCAUCAAAGAGGUGGCUGAAGAAAUGAUCUGUGGUCAUAGGUAACGGUAUACAGUGGAAUACAAUUGUGUGAAGUAAGGAAUCAACGGACCUGGGAAGACAGCAUAUAGAGAGAUGUCAUAGGCGCUCUAUGCUUAGCAUCCUGCAAGGCGCAAAGGUACCCACCGCCUCUCUGCUCUCACAUCCGUUCCACCUUUUUUCUUCUUCAAAUCCCAGCUUAAGGUAACCUCCUCCUUGUAGAAGAGUCCCCCCUGCCCCACCUUCCUGGCUCUUCUGCAUACUUUGCCUGUGCCCUUCCCUUCAGGACUUAACGCUUUGGGAAACCAAACCCAGGAAGCCAGAGGGUUUUUUUCUCCUUUCAAACUGUCCUACUUCUCCAUAUACAUAGUGAAUUGGGAGCACGCGAAAGGGAUAGAAUACCAGGAAGGUUGCAAGAGUUGGUUGACAUUUUAUCUUCUCACAGAUUUUUUUUUUCAGAACGGGAAAGAUCUACAUAGGAUUAAAACAUUAACUCUCUGCUUAAACAUUUUUGACAUUAACUAUAGAAUAUUCAAAGUUCAAAUCCUUUAAAUAGUGAAAUCAGAACCAUAGCUGAAACGUGGGUUUUCCUGGGUGAUAGGAAUUAUAAUGUUUAUAAUAAACUAUAUGUUUACUCCGUCUCUACAUUUACUGUAUUUUAUAUGUUUUCUAUAUUAUACUCAAGAUUUUUUUAAAAGUCACAGCUGUUUCUGUUAAGUGAUUUUUUUUUUUUUUUCCAAGCAUGGUUGGAUGAGGAAGAAUUACUUUCUGGCUACAUCUGAGUACAUGACAAUAGCCAAGCAAUAAGAUUGUAUUCCUGUGUUCUCAGUAAAAAGAGAAACUGCUAGUAAAUCUCUAACCAGGUAUUUUAAUUAUGUUGCACUGGACUCCAUAAAUUGGCAAGAAGUUUCAAGGCAUUUAAAUACAAGAUCAAAACUUUUUUUAAAUGAUUUUUAUUUUUUCCAUUAUAGCUGGUUUACGGUGUUCUGUCCAUUUUCUCCUGGACAGCAAGAUCAAAACUUUUAAUCGAUGGGUUUGACUAAGAAGGCCUUACUGAAGGGGUGCGGAUCUCUCUCGUGUAUUUACAUCAUAACCUUAUGCUGUUUUCAGCUGCUUACAUAGUGGAGACUAAUCAGUAAGCUGAGACAGUGUGGAAGGAAGCAGAAGCUUUAUUUGUUUUUCAGCUCUAGCGGGCAUAGUUUACAUCGGUCGAGCCCAGAAGAUGUAAAUUCCUAGUGGAUGCCAUGAUGCAAUAAUCCGUAGGUCUCAAGUAGUGUUGCCCAAGUGUUGACUUAUUAGAUAAUGCCUUAAAAAUUACAUUUUUCAUUACUGGCAACAGGAUUAGGUGGGUUUUAUCCUGUGAGAAGACACAUGCGGACAGUAGAUGCUGAUGUGGUGAUGAAAUUUUGUCAAAAUGUAAUUUCCUGCGACUAAAUCUCGUGACAGGUGCAUCGUAUUUCUGGGUUCAGAAGUUAUUCCCCAAUGACGUAACUAGAGAGAAUGUAUCCCGGGAACAUCACGGGUUGAUAUUUGCACAGCCCUUCUCCAGGGAUAUGGUUUGCUUUUUUUGUUUCCAGUUUAUGAGUGCUACAAAUGAGGUUUUAUAAAACAUCGUAGCAAUAUUUGCCUCAUAUGCUUGGUGUGAGUCCCUUGGAGUUGCAUACAUAAAGUACAUUAAACACCCAUUACCCAUGUCAUCUUUUUCAGUGCGUAUUACAGUCUUUAUCAUUGUACUUUUAUGUGUCACUCAACAGAUAUUUGUUGCAUUUAAUGACUGCAGGAGCCUAGUAUGGUAUUGCUUUUUUUUUUUUUUCAACAUAUUCCUAAGUUAUAAAAAUUAUGAAUAUACAUUCAUACAUUAUGCGUAUGCCUGCAGACUAAUAUACACAGUUGCCCUUCUGCAAGGAGUUGCUUUAUUCAAACUCAGCCUUUCUAGACUGCAAGUGUGUAGAGACAGGGAUAAAGGCAGAUGUACUACAGUCCUGUGAGGCAUAUGCUAAGGUCUGUCUAUAAUAUUACGAGAGUUCCUUUCCAGCAAAACUCCUUACAGCCAUUGUGAACAGUUCUGUUUCUGGAACUUUAGUUUCGCAGUUCUUUGGCAUUAGAUAAUACCUUGCUGGGAUCCAUUAACCCAGCAUAAUCAGCUCUUUUCUGCACUGUAUUUGGCUCUCAAAGCUUUUUGGCUGUCUCCAGAGAUCAAAAGUAUCAUCAAAGGGCCAAACUGGCUGCUAGAGAGACCAUGUGAAAGAAUAUGCCCAGGCUGAGAAGGCAGUUGGAAGAAAGAAAUGGGAAGUUAAGAAGGCAUUCCAAAAAUGCUGGCGACAAUGGCUGCGUGAUUGGACUAAGUAUGCAGACCCCAAAGUGGCUGCAAGGGGUGGGGGUGGGAGGGCCAGACAGUCCUCACUGAGGGUGUCUGUUAAAAAUCCGUAUUGUUUACUCAGUAGCUAAACUUUAUGCACACAUGCACGCGCCCGCACACACACGCACACACACACACACCCUUGUAUAAAGAUAAAUUGUUGUGAACUUCAGACUCUCUCUAUUUCCAGACCUCUAUUGCCUGUUUAUAGUUCUGUUCCCAUCCCCUCCACAUCAGCCUUCCCUCUCUUUUUCCCACUUUCCCUUUUCCCUCUACUCCUAAAUGGAUGGCGCCAGCAGGUAACAUUAGUGGCUGAGACGUGUGUUGACCAGGAUUUACAAGAAAGGCUUUGAAAAGCAGUAUUCUGAGGUCUUAAAGGGGAAGGUAUAUGAUGGAACGGAUAUAUCUUUUUAUUUCUUGCUCUUUGAAGGUACUACUUGUGGCAGAUUACAAGGAUGGUUUCAGAGGGGCCCAGAGCGAAAGAUUUCAGCAUCUGGUGAAGCCAGAUUUUUUUUUCUCUCCUCAUAGGGCCUCCAGUCUCCACCCUUCUGCAUCCAUGCAGGUUGGCACAUGUGACAAAACUGGAUAGAGUUUGUUCCUGUGCUAAGCUCUUCAUUCAGCCAUUCUGGCUAAGAGCCAGAAUGUAAAAUGAAAAACAUACCGUGUACCCUAAACUUUUCCCCUAUUUUAUAUAAGUUGGCAGUUUACGUGGCUCCAGACUUUUGGCAAAGUAUGGCCUUCCUACCUACGUUCAGGCCUGGCCAUAGGAAGCUGUGUUAAGCUGUAUGUGGGUAUCUUUUAAGAACAUUCUGAUAGUUUGCAUUGUGAGUUCAGGAGAAACUUGAAAGUAAGAUCUCCGGAGUUUUUGAAAGGCUAGGUUUUCCUUUCUUUUUUUGGAAAGCGCAUGAAAGCAGAUCUGGUGUCUCUGGCAAUUAAAGAGAUAAGCCUGGGGUGCAUUUUUGUGUUGUUUUGUUUUUUACCUUGCUGUCUCCCCAUCAGGUCUUUAUUUCUAAGUAGAAAACGGACAUUCUCUGUCAUUUAGGGGCAGAGUUAAUAAUUGCGAAAUGAAUAGAAAGUCUCCUGGUAAAACUCCAGUCUGCAUUUGGUAAUCUUCAACUUACCUGAAAGCCAUUCUGGGCAUGGUGAGGGCUGACCGGUCCCAGCCAUACUCUCCUUCAAAAAGGAGCAAGAGAAGGGGGUAAAAAGUUGCAUUUGUCAAUGUUUAUUACCUUGUGUGGAUUUUGUUUUAUUUAUUUAUUGUUUUGGCUUUUUAGGGCCCCACCCACAGCAUAUGGAGGUUCCCAGGCUAGGGUGUGAAUCGGAGCUGCAGCCGCCAGCCUGCACCAUAGCCACAGCAACACCAGAUCUGAGCCGCGUCUGUGACCUACACUGCAGUGCCCUGCAGCAGCGGAUCCUUAACCCAUUGAGCGAGGCCAAGGAUCGCACCUGCAUCCUUUUGGAUAUGAGUCAGAUUCGUUUCCGCCGAGCCACGACGGCAACUCCGAGACGACUUUUCCCUCGUGUGGAUUUUAAAGUCUAAUUACUGUCCUCACAGUGGACAUGGAUCAUUACUGCUGCGUAUCGAUCGUAUCACAAAGCGUGUCCUGUGUCCCUUCACUUAUUUAGAAACAUGGUGACCUGCUAAUUAAGGUUCCCCACCAUCUACCCUGUCCUACAUUUGUAGAUGUCACUCCGACUACCCCUUUGCAGACACCUGAUGCUUCUAAGGAAGCCACAUUCCUCACGUGGUCUGUCCAGGGCUGCUCUCAUCCUCCGGGUGCUGUUUGGUUCUGUGCCCUCAGCAGGAAGUGUGCUUUGUCCCUUCCAUUCAUUCCGAUCCUAUUUGGGGAGUUCUCUCUUGAUGCCAGCCCUUGCGCUAGGCUCUGGAGAUGCUGAAACACCAUACCCAUUUCCACACCCCCAGACUAUGCCAUUUCUUCCAAACCAAGCCGAGUGUGUCAGCAGGGUACUUCCUUUACUUUCCCAGGUGGAAGCCGCGUCCCUCCCUCCUCAAUGCAUCUAGAGCUUUUUGCCCGUGUGCAUCUAUCAUGGAAUUCACUCUGUUUCUUUGUAUUCUAUCUGGGAAUGGAACUUACCUUCCUUGGUAGAAUUUCUAGAAAGAAGAGCCUAUAGCAGAAUUCACCUUUGUAUCCUCUGUAGUGCCUAAUGCAGCCAUUUACUCGUUUAACAGGUAUUUAUUGCUUAGCUCUGUGCCACCUCCUGCUCAGGACAUUCUAUAAAUAUUGAUAUUUAUAGAGACCUUUGGGGUGCCUGAAAAAUAGAGACCUCAGAAGGACUAUCUGGUAUUAAGACUUGAGAGCAAAAGAGGCUUUAGGAGGUUGAAAAGGUGUUCCUUCUCUGGGGAUAAAUGAAUAACGCAUCCUGAGGUCUGGCUUUUGAAAUUUCAUAGGAGAAAUGUUGUGUUUCUGGCAGAAUAACUUAUUUCUAUUAGAUCUACAUCGGAACCUUUCUCUUUAUUUAAUGAUCAACCAGGUCUCUUGGGCUUGGAUAUCCUUUUGCAUCUGAAAUUCUCCUGUCAAACAAUGUCAUGUUAAAAACCGAUUUCGGAUUUUGUAAGGUUGAUCCCUGCAACUUCCAGUUCUAAAAUCUGCAGCUGACUUUUAAUUCAAAUAUGUAAGCAUAGCCUGACUGUAACCUGUGUGCCAUACUUCGUAGUUGUUUUACACAGUAACUGUAGUGGACGUUUUUGGUUUGAUCAUAAGAACAUCAAGAUGUUUUAUGUUUUUGAGUUGCUAAACAUCUGAAACCUCCAAAUCAUAUUGAUUUGUUUGCUGACUUAAUAUUGACUCUUUUCCGUUUGUGAUUACUUUAGACCCUUG